This 27-nucleotide non-coding RNA is filed under the name Rattus norvegicus (Norway rat). Lineage: Eukaryota; Metazoa; Chordata; Mammalia; Rodentia; Muridae. The record is from RNAcentral.
GGAGAAUCCGAGAGGCCCUUAGACCAC